UGGUGUAGCGGUGAAUGAUACGUGCUGAUGUAGCGCGCAGGACUCAACAGCGCCUCCAUCUGGAGCAGACGAGACACCGCGGCCUGAGGAGGAACCGCAUCCGACGCGUCCUUCAGCACUUCAUCAGGAAUCACUUUAGAUCCCUGAUCAAACACACAGAUCUCCCGAAUGUGUGUUUUGUUGAAGAGGUGGUGUCCGAGCCGCAGGAUCUGAUGCAGGGUGUCGCUCAAGAGUUUCUCCGGGCUCUGUUCGUCUGAGACGAGCGUCCGCUGGCUGUCAGACUCAUCCAGAAGCUUGUAGUUCCAGCGCUGGAAGAGUCUGCUGGGGAGGUCAUGGGACACCAGCAGGACUCGGGGCUCCAGGAUCGGGCCGCUGCGGGGCACAGCUGCGGUCUUGCAGGACAGACAGCAGAGCUUCGGUCGAACACUAGUGCAUGAAACACAGUUAUGGAUUUUUACAAUCACUGCAUCUGUUAUAUGAGGAGACGUUUAGGAAUAUGAUGCUCAUGUCACUGAAACCCUGGGCAGAAAGUCAUGGGUCUGCAGGUUGAGGGAGGUGGAUGGUGUUUUGCAGAUGAAGCACCUCGAUGACGAGCAGUGUGUGUCGAGGGUAGAUCAGCAGGAGACCGGUGACGUCUUCUCCAGCACUUCUCCUCUGCAGACUGACCAUCAGCCUCUCCAAGUGAUCUGACACACAACACACACCAGAGCAACGCUUGCAGUGCUUUUACAAUUUAACCAUUUUCAGGUCUGGGUUUGGAUUAUAAUGACAGUCUAAACCUUUACAGUUUUUUUUUUUCAGCUGCUUGCACACAUUUUCCAAACUUUGCCUCUUUUUUUCCAAACUUCACACACAAAUCCAAGAAUUGCACACAAAAUGCAAAUGCCUCGCAUCUCUUGCAAAACGAAGCAAUGCAUUCAAAAUAUCACAAACACAUCUCAAAAGCAAACAUUUGCAAACACCUUUGCCAUAAUAUUAAUUCCUGUUAGAUUUGUGUGUGUUAUGUAGAGAAUUGUGUUGUGUUUUGCAAAAAGUGUUUUAUGAAAUUGAAAACUGAGUCAAAGGCUGAGAAUCAGUGUCUGGUUUUGCAGAUUUGGUGUGUGCUUCUGCUGUUUGAGUGACAGCUUUCAGAAACUGUGUGACGAGGAAAGAUUUUGUGUGGAAGCAGCUGAAAAACAGUGUAAAGAGAAAUCUGAGAGUGGAUGUAAACAGACCUCCCACCGUCCUCCUGUCAGCCGCUUCACACGAGAGACGGCCAAUCACAGUCAGCCUGUGUAACAGGAACUUCUGCGGGAGAGACAGGAAGUGAUAAAAGACAAACCUGCUGAGUGACUGACGGUCGUAAACGAAUAUGA
This is a long non-coding RNA of Onychostoma macrolepis, 1355 nucleotides long. RefSeq lists it as uncharacterized. The transcript is spliced from 4 exons. The record is from RefSeq and is a predicted model, not a curated record. Lineage: Eukaryota; Metazoa; Chordata; Actinopteri; Cypriniformes; Cyprinidae.